GGGUAGCUCAGUUGGUCAGAGCAUGGUGCUGAUAACGCCCAGGUUGCAGGUUCGAUACCCGCAUGGGACA
Non-coding RNA from Podarcis lilfordi (Lilford's wall lizard), 70 nucleotides. The record is from the annotation of a GenBank genome assembly. Lineage: Eukaryota; Metazoa; Chordata; Lepidosauria; Squamata; Lacertidae.